GUGCCAGCAGCCGCGGUAAUACGGAGGGUGCAAGCGUUAAUCGGAAUUACUGGGCGUAAAGCGCGCGUAGGUGGCUUGAUAAGCCGGUUGUGAAAGCCCCGGGCUCAACCUGGGAACGGCAUCCGGAACUGUCAGGCUAGAGUGCAGGAGAGGAAGGUAGAAUUCCCGGUGUAGCGGUGAAAUGCGUAGAGAUCGGGAGGAAUACCAGUGGCGAAGGCGGCCUUCUGGACUGACACUGACACUGAGGUGCGAAAGCGUGGGUAGCAAACAGGAUUAGAUACCCUGGUAGUCCACGCCGUAAACGAUGUCGACCAGCCGUGGGUGCCUAGAGCACUUUGUGGCCGAAGUUAACGCGAUAAGUUCGACCGCCUGGGGAGUACGGCCCGCAAGGUUAAAACUCAAAUGAAUUGACGG
RNAcentral lists this ribosomal RNA (414 nucleotides) under Halomonas sp. Its description in RNAcentral is "bacterial SSU rRNA". It matches the Rfam family "Bacterial small subunit ribosomal RNA", at positions 505 to 916 of the family's 1533-position model. The record is from RNAcentral. Lineage: Bacteria; Pseudomonadati; Pseudomonadota; Gammaproteobacteria; Oceanospirillales; Halomonadaceae.